CCUACGAGCGGCAGCAGUGAGGAAUAUUGGUCAAUGGCCGGAAGGCUGAACCAGCCAAGUCGCGUGAGGGACGACUGCCCUAUGGGUUGUAAACCUCUUUUAUAAGGGAAGAAUAAAUGCUACGUGUAGCAUGAUGCCUGUACCUUAUGAAUAAGCAUAGGCUAACUCCGUGCCAGCAGCCGCGGUAAUACGGAGGAUGCGAGCGUUAUCCGGAUUGAUUGGGUUUAAAGGGUGCGUAGGCGGUUUUUUAAGUUAGUGGUUAAACGUCGGGGCUUCACCUUGAUUUGCCAUUAAUACUGUAAGACUCGAGUUCAGACGAGGUAGGCGGAAUAAGUUAAGUAGCGGUGAAAUGCUUAGAUAUAACUUAGAACUCCGAUAGCGAAGGCAGCAUACCGGUUCACAACUGACGCUCAGGCACGAAAGCGUGGGUAUCGAACAGGAUUAGAUACCCGGGUAGUC
RNAcentral lists this ribosomal RNA (459 nucleotides) under uncultured bacterium. RNAcentral's name for it is "partial 16S ribosomal RNA". It matches the Rfam family "Bacterial small subunit ribosomal RNA", at positions 338 to 795 of the family's 1533-position model. The record is from RNAcentral.